UACGGGGGGUGCAAGCGUUACUCGGGAUCACUGGGCGUAAAGCGUGCGCAGGCGGUUUUGUAAGACAGUGGUGAAAUCCCCGGGCUCAACCUGGGAACUGCAUCUGAUACUGGCAAGCUUGAGUCUCGUAGAGGGGGGUAGAAUUCCAGGUGUAGCGGUGAAAUGCGUAGAGAUCUGGAGGAAUACCGGUGGCGAAGGCGGCCCCCUGGACGAAGACUGACGCUCAGGUGCGAAAGCGUGGGUAGCAAACAGG
This 253-nucleotide ribosomal RNA is filed under the name uncultured bacterium. Its description in RNAcentral is "partial 16S ribosomal RNA". It matches the Rfam family "Bacterial small subunit ribosomal RNA", at positions 524 to 776 of the family's 1533-position model. The record is from RNAcentral.